This 583-nucleotide ribosomal RNA is filed under the name Amphimedon compressa (erect rope sponge). Its description in RNAcentral is "eukaryotic LSU rRNA". It matches the Rfam family "Eukaryotic large subunit ribosomal RNA", at positions 676 to 1243 of the family's 3401-position model. Lineage: Eukaryota; Metazoa; Porifera; Demospongiae; Haplosclerida; Niphatidae. The record is from RNAcentral.
CAGGAGGCGCGCGAGUCUUCGGGUGAAGGAAACCCGUCCGGGGCGAAGUGAGAGUGAAUCGCGGGAGCCGGCGCCAGCCGUCGGUGCACCGCGGACCGAGCCGUGCGGUCACGCUGUGGCCGGCUUCGAGUCAGAGCGCGCCUGUUGCGACCCGAAAGAUGGUGAACUAUGCCCGAGGAGGGUGAAGCCAGGGGAAACUCUGGUGGAAGCUCGUAGCGGUUCUGACGUGCAAAUCGAUCGUCGCACUUGGGUAUAGGGGCGAAAGACUAAUCGAACCAUCUAGUAGCUGGUUCCCUCCGAAGUUUCCCUCAGGAUAGCUGGAGCCCGGCUGAGCAGUUUUAUCGGGUAAAGCGAAUGAUUAGAGGUAUCGGGGUCCGAGCGACCUCGACCUAUUCUCAAACUUUAAAUAGGUAAGCUCGGGUGGCUUGCUUGCGUGAAGCCACUCCGCGGAAUGCAGGGGCUCCUGGUGGGCCGUUUUUGGUAAGCAGAACCGGCGAUGCGGGAUGAACCGAACGGCGGGUUACGGUGCCGGAGUUGACGCUGAUCAGAACCCAGGAAAGGUGUUGGUUGAUCUAGACAGCAG